UACGGGGGAGCAAGCGUUGUUCGGAUUUAUUGGGUUUAAAGGGUGCGUAGGCGGCCCUGUAAGUCAGUGGUGAAAUACUGCAGCUUAACUGUAGCAUUGCCAUUGAUACUGUAGGGCUUGAGUACAGAUGAGGUAGGCGGAAUUGAUGGUGUAGCGGUGAAAUGCAUAGAUACCAUCAAGAACACCGAUUGCGAAGGCAGCUUACUAAGCUGUAACUGACGCUGAGGCACGAAAGCGUGGGGAUCGAAACAGG
Molecule: ribosomal RNA, 253 nt
Filed under: uncultured bacterium
Lineage: Bacteria
Description: partial 16S ribosomal RNA
Rfam family: Bacterial small subunit ribosomal RNA
Source: RNAcentral